CUUAUUAAAAAAAUACAGUUUUGCAUGCUUAGGUUUUGUGCAUGUCCAAACAAACAAACAUCUUAAAGGUGUCUAGUUUUCAGAAGACAGAGGACUGUCUGCUUUCCAUUAGAAAAUGGGACUGCUUAAAGCAUCUCAGUUUAGGCCCCUUAGGGCUUCUUUAUUUGUAUAAGUGAAAAAUCAAAACAGUGGAACUCACUAGGAAAAUUGGGAAUGUCUAGAGAAAAUGUUAAUAUUAGAGACUCAACUAAUCUGAAAUGUUAUCAGCCCACAGGAUGUGACAGCUUAUGUAAGCUGAGAGUCUUGCCUUUUAUCUUUGUGAAACCAACACUUUGAAGGCAGUUGUUAAUACUUCUUAAUCAAGAUGUUGCAAGAGCACUGUUUCAAGAAAUGCUGUCUUUUGUUAUGCUAGAACACAAUCUCACUCCUAAGAACAAGCAGGACACCUCAAAACUGUCUUUCUGACCCUGCUAGUACGGAGACCAAACCCAAGAAGAUUGUGUCAUUCUCACCUGCAGGCCUAGCGAAGCCAAUUUACCGAACUAUUACAAAGCCACUUUUUUCCACAACAUUUAGAAGACUCCUUGAGCCCUUCUUGAAACGCCUUUUUGAUGCUCAACAGAAUUUUGCACACUUUUGCCAUAAAGCCUCUGUUCUUUGGGAGAAAAUUGUUAUCUCUGGCGCAGAAUAAUAUUGGAUUUCAUACAUGGAGGACACAGAUACAAAGAAUUAAAAGUUCAGUUCCAGAGGUACUGAUGUUCUGAUACUCUAGUUUCUGUGAAGGAAAAUCACACAGGAAAAUGCUUCACAGAGAUCUAUGGGAUACCUAAGAUCUGAAUGCUGAGACACAGCCUAACAACUAACCUAAAGCCUUGCCUUGACCUCUAGCUCUACAACUCAGUACAUUGGAGCAAUCUGAUACAUGUGAUCUACAACAUGUGAUGAUCAGCAGCUCGAAAGGACUGUUUUGCCUUACGGUGCUGUCUUACCACAAUGAGGGAAUCAUGCAUUGGAUCACAGGGAUCUUCUGUGUAGCUUUUAUGGUCAACCACAGCUGUAGCUCACUGUGCUGUUAUUUGGAGAUCUCAAAUGAGGUGUCACCAUGGUCAUGUCAGAACAUGAAGAAUACAGACCCCUAAAUCAAUAAAGAAGGAGCAAGUCAUUUUUUCCUACUGACACUUGAAAAGCAACGAUUUAUCUGGUGGACUCCCAGGAUGAGGCCAGCAGCACUUCAGCCUCCAUUUGACCUUGAGAAUUAUUUCUUCUCAGCUGUGAAUGAGAUAACAGCUCUAGCCAAUGCUUUGGAGGGUCUUUGGUCCUCAGCAGCAUUUCUUUUGUUAUGCGGGCUGAAGAUAAUUCCAACGGUUUUCAGCUAUGCUUUUCCUUCCUGUUGCCCAAUGCUCUUCUGGCCCCAAGGCUGAGUCAGGCAUUGAGGUUUCCUCCAAAGCAGCUGCAUAUAUGGGUUUCCUCCAACAACAACCAGGCUGAAGGGGCAGGAUGGAAACUGCAGUAUGUGUUAGAAUAUAUCGACACGGAGUCAACUCUGAACGAAAACGAUGACAUACAGCAGCGGUGCAUGUCCUCGUCUCAAGUCAGCACAACUUCCCAUGGCCAGGGAGCGCACAACACAUGAGCACGGUGGAAUGUACCUGCUGUACUCCAUGUCACAGCAUGCACCCUGCCAAAGGACUAUCAUAGCACUGGAUCCUUUUACUUUCAAAAGUUGUUCAGGGUUAAAACUCAUAAUUUUGGUACCGUUACAUUUUAUGCGACAGCCAUAUAGUUUCGUCAUUUCUUACUUACAUACUAAUGGUUGGUAAUACUGCAUAUCGCUGUAAAAGUAAAAUGAAAUAACAACUAAUCCACAAAUUGAAUGAAUGAGAAUUGCAUUUUAAUAUUACAAAACAUCUCAGCACAGGAAAGAUGUUUAGUAUUUGUCCAUCUUCAAGUAGGUGUUUACAACCUUUUAAAAAGAUACCAAUGUGUGAAUCCAUUUAAUUGUGAGACUAUAAUGAAUAGGAAAUAAAGAUAUGCUUAAAUUUAACUGAGUGAUUUGCUGAACUAGGGUUUUAAUACUUAAUUUUGAGGAAACAAGGUUGUCUGCAUAGGUCUACUCUGCUAACUCGGUACUAAAAACAUAAUUGAUACAAUCAUAGAAUCAUGGAAGGGUUCAGGUUGGAACGAACCUUUAAAGACCAUCUAAACCAACCCCCUUGCAAUGAGCAGGGACAUCUUCAACUAGAUCAGGCUGCUCAGAGCCCCAUCCAACCUGACCUUGAAUAUUUCCACGGAUGGGGGAUCUGACACCUCUCUGGGCAACCUGUUCCAGUGUUUCAUCACCCUCACUGUAAAAAAUUACUUCCUUAUAUCAGUCUGAAUCUACCCUCUUUUAGUUUAAAACCAUUACCCGUUGUUGUGCUCUUCUGGAUUUUUUUUUUUUAAAUGAUCUUCUCACUAUCAAAAUGACAAGCUAAUGGGUGGCGUUUUCAAAUAUGCUGACAAAGGACACAGGAAUAGAAAUUUGGGAUCCUUCAUAGGAUCCUGGAACAUAGGAUGGGAGGAAUAUCAGGAGGUCUCUGUUUCAACCCUGGUCCUUCAUAUCGGGGCCAUCUGUGAGAUUUGA
Chroicocephalus ridibundus (black-headed gull) is the source of this 2623-nucleotide long non-coding RNA. RefSeq lists it as uncharacterized. The transcript has 4 exons. NCBI's taxonomy places the organism in Eukaryota, Metazoa, Chordata, Aves, Charadriiformes, Laridae. The record is from RefSeq and is a predicted model, not a curated record.